CCUACGGGUGGCAGCAGUGAGGAAUAUUGGUCAAUGGACGCAAGUCUGAACCAGCCAUGCCGCGUGCAGGAAGACGGCUCUAUGAGUUGUAAACUGCUUUUGUACGAGAGUAAACGCAGAUACGCGUAUCUGUCUGAAAGUAUAGUACGAAUAAGGUUCGGCUAACUCCGUGCCAGCAGCCGCGGGAAUACGGAGGAUGCAAGCGUUAUCCGGAUUUAUUGGGUUUAAAGGGUGCGUAGGCGGUCGGCUAAGUUAGAGGUGAAAGCCCGAGGAUCAACUACGGAAUUGCCUCUGAUACUGUUCGUCUAGAGAGUAGUUGCGGUAGGCGGAAUGUAUGGGGUAGCGGUGAAAUGCUUAGAGAUCAUACAGAACACCGAUUGCGAAGGCAGCUUACCGGGCUACUUCUGACGUUGAGGCACGAAAGCGUGGGGAGCAAACAGGAUUAGAUACCCUAGUAGUC
Molecule: ribosomal RNA, 460 nt
Filed under: uncultured bacterium
Lineage: Bacteria
Description: partial 16S ribosomal RNA
Rfam family: Bacterial small subunit ribosomal RNA
Source: RNAcentral